This is a long non-coding RNA of Drosophila obscura, 486 nucleotides long. RefSeq lists it as uncharacterized. The transcript is spliced from 2 exons. The record is from RefSeq and is a predicted model, not a curated record. Lineage: Eukaryota; Metazoa; Arthropoda; Insecta; Diptera; Drosophilidae.
UAAAACCGCGGUCACACUGCUCUACAACUUGUAGCAAAAAAAAAAAUAUUUAUACGAAUUUUGAUUUUAAUUAACGAAUUCGUAAAAACGAAUUAAUAAAACGAAUUAAAUCUUGUAGUCGAAGUGAAAAUGUGAACGCUGUGUUUGCUUUUGAAAUGAAAUCCAUUUAAAAUGCAUUUCAACAAAUCAACUCGCUGUGAAAAUUUCGUACAGGCAAAAAAGAGCCGAUUUUUAGUGGAAGAAGAAGCAGCAGCAGCCGAACGGGCAGUAAAAGCAAUCGUCGAAUACACGGACAAAGCGCAAGGCGAAUGAAACUCGUGUGAAGAGAAAACUUGCAAAAAUUACAGCAACAACAACAGCAGCAGGCGAAAAAUGGUUGUGCAAGAAGAAGCAGCAACAAUCAGGCAAAAAAAUACCUGAAAAAAAAAUAAACGGUAAAACGAAGAAGUGGCGACACACAGCGCAGAGCGCGCUAAAAGUUUAUUG